RNAcentral lists this ribosomal RNA (415 nucleotides) under uncultured eukaryote. Its description in RNAcentral is "bacterial SSU rRNA". It matches the Rfam family "Eukaryotic small subunit ribosomal RNA", at positions 592 to 1018 of the family's 1831-position model. The record is from RNAcentral.
CAAUAGCGUAUAUUUAAGUUGUUGCAGUUAAAAAGCUCGUAGUUGGAUUUCGGUUGAGAACGGCCGGUCCGCCGUUUGGUGUGCACUGGCUGGUCUCAACUUCCUGUAGAGGACGCGCUCUGGGUUAACGCUCGGACGCGGAGUCUACGUGGUUACUUUGAAAAAUUAGAGUGUUCAAAGCAGGCGUUUGCUUGAAUAUAUUAGCAUGGAAUAAUGGAAUAGGACGCUGGUUCUAUUUUGUUGGUUUUGAGAACCAGAGUAAUGAUUAAUAGGGACAGUUGGGGGCAUUCAUAUUUCAUUGUCAGAGGUGAAAUUCUUGGAUUUAUGAAAGAUGAACUUCUGCGAAAGCAUUUGCCAAGGAUGUUUUCAUUAAUCAAGAACGAAAGUUAGGGGAUCGAAGAUGAUCAGAUACCGU